Molecule: long non-coding RNA, 273 nt
Filed under: Gossypium barbadense (sea-island cotton)
Lineage: Eukaryota; Viridiplantae; Streptophyta; Magnoliopsida; Malvales; Malvaceae
Description: long non-coding RNA (GBAR_LNC000860)
Source: RNAcentral
CCCAAAUUCAAAUUCCAUACUUUUCUCCUAAAUUUCAGACCCCACCAAUUUAAAUCCCAUCCAACCUCUUGGUACCACCAGCAACAGUCCACCGCUUGACCGACUCAAGCCAAUGCUAGGAGAGUUUCGGUCAAACUCUGACUCUCCCCCACGUGAGCAGCAAAAUUCCCAACCUUACGUGCGAGAUGAAGCUUGAACCUCGAACCUCCGUCCAUCUUGCGCCCUUGCGCCUUCGCCUGAGCUGCUGGCCACUGCACUACGCUUUCUUCUUUU